AGCAAUUUGGCGCAGUGGAAGCGCGGUAUGUCUAUCAUUAUCUGCAUAUAAAAAUCCUUACUAACAGACGCAGCCGGGCUCAUAACCCGGAGGUCACUAGAUCGAAACUAGUAAUUGCUA
This 120-nucleotide transfer RNA is filed under the name Fusarium oxysporum. RNAcentral describes it as "transfer RNA-Asp(ATC)". The record is from RNAcentral. Lineage: Eukaryota; Fungi; Ascomycota; Sordariomycetes; Hypocreales; Nectriaceae.